RNAcentral lists this ribosomal RNA (354 nucleotides) under uncultured Pseudomonas sp. RNAcentral describes it as "bacterial SSU rRNA". It matches the Rfam family "Bacterial small subunit ribosomal RNA", at positions 1029 to 1382 of the family's 1533-position model. Lineage: Bacteria; Pseudomonadati; Pseudomonadota; Gammaproteobacteria; Pseudomonadales; Pseudomonadaceae. The record is from RNAcentral.
CUGACACAGGUGCUGCAUGGCCGUCGUCAGCUCGUGUCGUGAGAUGUUGGGUUAAGUCCGUAACGAGCGCAACCCUUGUCCUUAGUUACCAGCACGUUAUGGUGGGCACUCUAAGGAGACUGCCGGUGACAAACCGGAGGAAGGUGGGGGAUGACGUCAAGUCAUCAUGGCCCUUACGGCCUGGGCUACACACGUGCUACAAUGGUCGGUACAAAGGGUUGCCAAGCCGCGAGGUGGAGCUAAUCCCAUAAAACCGAUCGUAGUCCGGAUCGCAGUCUGCAACUCGACUGCGUGAAGUCGGAAUCGCUAGUAAUCGUGAAUCAGAAUGUCACGGCGAAUACGUUCCCGGGCCUU